Molecule: ribosomal RNA, 442 nt
Filed under: uncultured bacterium
Lineage: Bacteria
Description: partial 16S ribosomal RNA
Rfam family: Bacterial small subunit ribosomal RNA
Source: RNAcentral
CCUACGGGAGGCAGCAGUAGGGAAUCUUUCACAAUGGGCGAAAGCCUGAUGGAGCAACGCCGCGUGCAGGAUGAAGGCCUUCGGGUUGUAAACUGCUUUUAUAAGCGAGAAAUAUGAUGGUAACUUAUGAAUAAGGAUCGGCUAACUACGUGCCAGCAGCCGCGGUCAUACGUAGGAUCCGAGCAUUAUCCGGAGUGACUGGGUGUAAAGAGUUGCGUAGGUGGCAUAAUAAGUAGCUAGGGAAAUCUGGUGGCUCAACCAUUCAGACUAUUAGCUAAACUGUUAAUCUCGAGAACGUUAGGGGUAACUGGAAUUUCUAGUGUAGGAGUGAAAUCCGUAGAUAUUAGAAGGAACACCAAUAGCGUAGGCAGGUUACUGGGACGGUUCUGACACUAAGGCACGAAAGCGUAGGGAGCAAACGGGAUUAGAUACCCCAGUAGUC